CCUACGGGUGGCAGCAGUGAGGAAUAUUGGUCAAUGGGCGCGAGCCUGAACCAGCCAAGUAGCGUGAAGGAUGACUGCCAUACGGGUUGUAAACUUCUUUUAUAAAGGAAUAAAGUGAGGCACGUGUGCCUUUUUGUAUGUACUUUAUGAAUAAGGAUCGGCUAACUCCGUGCCAGCAGCCGCGGUAAUACGGAGGAUCCGAGCGUUAUCCGGAUUUAUUGGGUUUAAAGGGCGCGUAGAUGGGUUGUUAAACCAUGUGUGAAAGUUUGCGGCUCAACCGUAAAAUUGCAAUUGAUACUGGCAGCCUUGAGUACAGUUGAGGUAGGCGGAAUGCGUGGUGUAGCGGUGAAAUGCUGAGAUAUCACGAAGAACUCCGAUUGCGAAGGCAGCUUACUAAACUGCCACUGACAUUGAUGCUCGAAAGUGUGGGUAUCAAACAGGAUUAGAUACCCUGGUAGUC
Molecule: ribosomal RNA, 460 nt
Filed under: uncultured bacterium
Lineage: Bacteria
Description: partial 16S ribosomal RNA
Rfam family: Bacterial small subunit ribosomal RNA
Source: RNAcentral